Molecule: long non-coding RNA, 519 nt
Filed under: Carica papaya (papaya)
Lineage: Eukaryota; Viridiplantae; Streptophyta; Magnoliopsida; Brassicales; Caricaceae
Description: long non-coding RNA (CPAP_LNC006877)
Source: RNAcentral
AAUCAUUAUACAACAUAUCUUUUUCUCAUUUACCAGCCUACUAGUAUCCGUGGGGGUCCAUAGGGGUCCCGCUACCCGUUAACCUUUAACAUUCAUAAUCAGUUUUCAGGGCCGUCCCCAUACCCCGUCCGGUAUGGGCGCCAAAACCAUAAACCUCAAUACCCCGUCCGGUAUGAGGGUGAAACGGGCCGUCCCCAUACCCCGUCCAGUAUGGGCGCCAAAACCAUAAACCUCAAUACCCCGUCCGGUAUGAGGGUGAAACGGGCCGUCCCCAUACCCCGUCCGGUAUGGGCGCUAAAACCAUAAGAUCUUCAUGCCCCGUCCGGCAUGUGAGACCACAAUCCCGGUAGGGUUCCCUACGGACCCGGUCCGUCCACCAUCUCCCAUGAUAUCUAGUCAGGCUGACCCCAUAAUACAAUUAUCAGUCUACACAAUCUUUUAUUUUCCUUUUCCUCAGUCAGCAUCAUCAAUUCACAUUUAAACAAGCAAAUCGUAAUUCAUGCCAAACAGACAACAUAC